GACGACUAACUGUUCACCUGGCAAAGAAUCUCCUUCCCUGACAACUUGAUCAUCAGAAAAAGCUUUUUGGAAGCACAUUCAGUCAGCAAAGACUCCUAAGUAUGUGAUUGUAUUUCUGAAGAUUGGAUAUUCUCAUGUGGUUUGGAGCUUUCGUGGGCAAAGUUUUGUGAAAAACAGAGAUCAGAAAAGGUGCUUGAAUAAUCCUGCAUUUGAUGGAAUACCAAACAACUGAUUUUGCAAAAGAUACUAACAUUCAGUUAUAUAAUAAUCAACAGAAACCAAGUUGGUGGUCCGACGACCAUUCCAUGGUCAAAAAUCUCCGUCAAAUAAGUUUGACUUUGGUUUACCCAAAAAAGGGGAAGAGCUUGACUUUCCACUCUUACCUUUUCUUUCCUUAAACUUGUCAAGAAAUGAUCUCAGUAAAUUUUCUCAAACAAGAUAAGAAAAUUGGCUAGGCAGCUAGCAUAUCAAAGUUAUAGUACCCCGUUUUUCCCAACCUCUAGAAACUAAUGGCUCUAACAUUGCUUAUGGUAUGUCACCAUUAUGCUUAUGCAUGCCCAUUUCUCAGACCAUAAAUCUUUUGUUUUAUAAUUCCAGAAGUAAAGAAUAAAUACACAACUUACCUUAAAAAUUUUU
RNAcentral lists this long non-coding RNA (636 nucleotides) under Phoenix dactylifera (date palm). RNAcentral describes it as "long non-coding RNA (PDAC_LNC020220)". Lineage: Eukaryota; Viridiplantae; Streptophyta; Magnoliopsida; Arecales; Arecaceae. The record is from RNAcentral.